GGGGAUGUAGCUCAGUGGUAUAGCGCAAGCUUUGCAUGUAUGAUGCCCUGGGUUCAAUCCCCGGCAUCUCCA
This 72-nucleotide transfer RNA is filed under the name Perca fluviatilis (European perch). It matches the Rfam family "tRNA". From Rfam's summary of the family: Transfer RNA (tRNA) molecules are approximately 80 nucleotides in length. Their secondary structure includes four short double-helical elements and three loops (D, anti-codon, and T loops). The record is from Rfam by way of RNAcentral. Lineage: Eukaryota; Metazoa; Chordata; Actinopteri; Perciformes; Percidae.